RNAcentral lists this small RNA (463 nucleotides) under Theobroma cacao (cacao). RNAcentral's name for it is "sRNA Tc06v2_g005700". The record is from RNAcentral. Lineage: Eukaryota; Viridiplantae; Streptophyta; Magnoliopsida; Malvales; Malvaceae.
GUACAUGAAGGACUCAAAGUGGAAAAGAAAAACAGAAGUGCAAAGAUAAGGUUAAAGUACUAUGGUGGCAUGUCGGAGUAAACAAUGAGCGACCGGUCAGUAAAAUAAUCAGAGACAGCUCUAAUCAAAUAGCGAUGUAAUAUCCUGCUAUCGUAAGUGCGCAUACCGAUUGAAUGACAAUGUCGUGAUAAUUACAACCGUGCAUGUGCGGAGUGGGCAGUGCACAUGCCGGUAAUGAUGCACAUGAGUUAGGUGAGAUGGUGUGUCCGGCUAUGUACACGAUGUGGGGGAUGCACAUGAGCCAGGUGAGGUGAUGGUGGUGCAUGUGCUUAUAUAUAUAUUGUCACGACCUGGUACUCCAUUCGAGCUUGUGACAACAGCUGUGACGUCCCGAUGGACAUUCAUUGUCCGAAAUUCCAACCGGAACCUCGCAAGGCUUUAAUAUCAAUUUUCGCACCUCCCU